GAAGGGGGCAAGCGUUGUUCGGAAUUACUGGGCGUAAAGGGCGCGUAGGCGGCCAUUCAAGUCAGCCGUGAAAGGCCUGGGCUCAACCUGGGAAUUGCGGUUGGGACUGAGUGGCUAGAGAGCGGGAGAGGAUGGUGGAAUUCCCAGUGUAGAGGUGAAAUUCGUAGAUAUUGGGAAGAACACCGGUGGCGAAGGCGGCCAUCUGGACCGUAUCUGACGCUGAGGCGCGAAAGCGUGGGGAGCAAACAGGAUUAGAUACCCUGGUAGUCCACGCUGUAAACGAUGAGUGCUGGACGUUGGUGGGCUUGCCUGCCGGUGUCGCAGCUAACGCGUUAAGCACUCCGCCUGGGGAGUACGGCCGCAAGGUUGAA
Molecule: ribosomal RNA, 371 nt
Filed under: uncultured bacterium
Lineage: Bacteria
Description: bacterial SSU rRNA
Rfam family: Bacterial small subunit ribosomal RNA
Source: RNAcentral